CCUACGGGUGGCAGCAGUGGGGAAUAUUGCACAAUGGGGGAAACCCUGAUGCAGCGACGCCGCGUGAGUGAAGAAGUAAUUCGGUACGUAAAGCUCUAUCAGCAGGGAAGAAAUACUGACCUUACGGUCAGCAGACGGUACCUGAGUAAGAAGCACCGGCUAACUACGUGCCAGCAGCCGCGGUAAUACGUAGGGGGCAAGCGUUAUCCGGAUUUACUGGGUGUAAAGGGAGCGUAGACGGUGCGCCAAGUCUGGAGUGAAAUGCCGCGGCUUAACUGCGGAACUGCUUUGGAAACUGGCGAACUAGAGUGCGGGAGGGGUAAGCGGAAUUCCUAGUGUAGCGGUGAAAUGCGUAGAUAUUAGGAGGAACACCGGUGGCGAAGGCGGCUUACUGGACCGUAACUGACGUUGAGGCUCGAAAGCGUGGGGAGCAAACAGGAUUAGAUACCCCAGUAGUC
This 458-nucleotide ribosomal RNA is filed under the name uncultured bacterium. RNAcentral's name for it is "partial 16S ribosomal RNA". It matches the Rfam family "Bacterial small subunit ribosomal RNA", at positions 338 to 795 of the family's 1533-position model. The record is from RNAcentral.